Callorhinus ursinus (northern fur seal) is the source of this 1860-nucleotide non-coding RNA. Lineage: Eukaryota; Metazoa; Chordata; Mammalia; Carnivora; Otariidae. The record is from RefSeq and is a predicted model, not a curated record.
AUGAUGCUACCCGUGCUGCUGCUGCUUGGUCUCUUCUGCCUGGCCGCGGCCGAACCCGCCAUCUACUUAAAGGAGCAGUUUCUGGACGGAGACGGGUGGACCGACCGCUGGAUUGAAUCCAAACACAAGUCAGAUUUUGGUAAAUUUGUCCUCAGUUCCGGCAAGUUCUACGGUGACCAGGAGAAGGAUAAAGGGCUGCAGACAAGCCAGGAUGCCCGCUUUUACACUUUGUUGGCCAGAUUUGAGCCUUUCAGCAACAAGGGCCAGACACUGGUGGUGCAGUUCACCGUGAAACACGAGCAGAACAUCGAUUGUGGGGGCGGCUACGUGAAGCUCUUUCCAGAUGGUCUGGACCAGACCGACAUGCACCGAGACUCUGAAUACAACAUCAUGUUCGGCCCCAAUAUCUGUGGCCCCGGCACCAAGAAGGUUCACGUCAUCUUGAACUACAAGGGCAAGAACGUGCUGAUCAACAAGGAUAUUCAUUGCAAGGAUGAUGGAUUCACACACCUGUAUACCCUGAUUGUCGGCCAGAUAACACUUAUGAGGUGAAAAUUGACAACAGCCAGGUGGAAUCAGGCUCCUUGGAGGAUGAUUGGGACUUCCUCCCUCCCAAGAAGAUAAAGGAUCCUGAUGCUUCGAAGCCUGAAGACUGGGAUGAGCGGGCCAAGAUUGAUGACCCCACAGACUCUAAGCCUGAGGACUGGGACAAGCCCAAGCACAUCCCUGACCCCGAUGCGAAAAAGCCAGAGGACUGGGAUGAAGAGAUGGAUGGAGAGUGGGAACCACCUGUGAUUCAGAACCCUGAGUAUAAGGGCAAAUGGAAGCCCUGGCAGAUGGACAACCCAGAUUACAAGGGCACUUGGAUCCACCCAGAGAUUGACAACCCUGAGUACUCCCCUGAUAGCAACAUCUAUGCCUAUGAAAACUUUGCUGUUCUGGGCUUAGAUCCCUGGCAGGUCAAGUCUGGCACCAUCUUUGACAACUUCCUCAUCACCAACGACGAGGCACAUAUGCAGAGGAGUUUGGAAACGAGACCUGGGGUGUCACGAAGGCAGCUGAAAAGCAGAUGAAGGACAAGCAGGACGAGGAGCAGAGGCUAAAGGAGAAGGAGGAGGACAAGAAGCGCAAGGAAGAAGAGGAGGCAGACAAGGAUGAUGAGGAAGAUAAGGACGAACAUGAGGAGGACGAGGAUGACAAGGAGGAAGAGGAAGAGGAAGAUGCUGCCACUGGCCAGGCCAAGGAUGAGCUGUAGGGGCCAUGCCGCUGCCUCCAGGGCUGGACUGAGGCCUGAGCGCUCCCACCGCAGAGCCAGCUGUGCCAAAUAAUGUCUCUAUGAGACUGGAGAACUUUUCAUUUUUUUUCCAGGCAGGUUCUGAUUUGGGGUGGAUUUUGGUUUUGUUUCCUUCCCUCCUUUUUCCCUUUUUUUUUUUUCUAAACUGGUGUUUUGUCUUUGAUUCUCCUUUAGUCCUUAUUCCUGACCUCAUCUUUCUUGAUUGACAUCUUUGCCUUCCUCUGUCCCUUUCUCUCCCCCAAUCCCUUAGUUUCCCUCCAACCUGAGGGGGCAGAGGAGUGUGGAAGAGAAGUCCCAGGCCCAAGAUUCCAUCUGCUUUCCUUCCUGGAUCCCAGAGGGGGGCUGGAGAAGAGGGGGACUGGAGAAGAGGGUGGCAUCCCCAACCCCCAGCACUGAGGAAGAACAGGGUUCCUAGGGCCUGAACUCUGACCCCCACCCACCACCUCCCUUUUCCCCCGCUCCCAGGACUGGGCCACUUCUGGGUGGGGCAGUGGGUUUCAGCUUGGCUCACACUGAGAGUGUAAGGACUACAAACAAAAUUUCUAUUAAAUUAAGUUUUGUGUCUU